GGAAUAUGAGCAGAAUUGGUGCAGACGGUUGUAGAAGUCUUCAUGUCACUGCACCCCAUAUACCAUUUGAACUCACAGCCAUAUACCAGAUGUGGGUGCUGCAGUCUGACAAGAUUCCACAGACACUUCUGUGCCUGACAGUGUCUCAAGAGACAGAACUGGUAAGUGGAAAGGUCAAAGGCUGGGCACUGGAUAUGAGUGGGAAGAGGUGGAAGAUCUUCAAGGCACCUGUCAAGACAACUCCACUGAGUUGGAAGCUGAUCCUACUGAGAAGACUCUUCUAAGAAGACUGAGAAGAGGAGGCUCAGGGUAGACCUUAUUGCUCUUUAGAGUGACCAGAAAGAAGGUUGUAUGAGGUGGAGUUUGGCCUCUUCUCCCAGGUAACAAAGUUAGGGAUGAGAGGGAAUGGCUUCAAGUUGUACCAGGGGACAUUCAGGUUGGAUGUUAGGAAACAUUUCUUCUCAGUAAGAGCAGUGCUGCAGUGGCACAGGCUGCCCAGGGAGGUGGUAGUCACUGUCCCUGAAAGUGUUCCAGAAUCGUGUGGAUGUGGCACUGAGGGACAUGGUUAGUGGGCAUGGUGUGGACAGGCUGAUGGCUGGACUAGAUGAUUUUAGAGGUUUUUUCCAUCCUUAGUGAUUCUGCGAGGAAAGUUCCUGCUCUAACAUUCCCUGCUUUUGUGCAUAGGCUAAAUGAAAUCACUGCCCCUGGAUCCAGAUUGGUCUCAAGGAUUACUGUAAAGCAUCUCUUUGAUAGCUGUGGCACCAACAUCUUAAUGUGUGAGACUGUUCCCUACUGGAGGAGUGCUCAGUCCCAACAAGACAAGGCGUUAACGAUCUGCUCCACAGUCAAGAACUGCUAGCUUCUACUCUUUGCAGAGCUCUAUCUGUGCCCUGUAGUAAUGGCUUCUCUCACCCCUUCCCCUCAAUGCUGGCUGCAGGCUGAAGAUGUCUAUGUGCCACAUGGCAGCCCCUUCUGCAGUGCCAGUGCUCCCAGUCUCCUUGUCAGGCUGGGCACGUCGGGCUCUGCUCCCCUGGGUAGUUUUGUUCCUUGCCCACCUGAGUGCUGAUGCUAUGGUAAAAAUAACUCUGCACGGAAAUGAGAGCACUGAUUGGGAUUUAAAUAAAAUUUACAUAAAACUCUGCUUUGAGUACUAA
Molecule: long non-coding RNA, 1154 nt
Filed under: Coturnix japonica (Japanese quail)
Lineage: Eukaryota; Metazoa; Chordata; Aves; Galliformes; Phasianidae
Description: lncRNA (ENSCJPG00005008523.1)
Source: RNAcentral